RNAcentral lists this ribosomal RNA (231 nucleotides) under uncultured bacterium. RNAcentral describes it as "partial 16S ribosomal RNA". It matches the Rfam family "Bacterial small subunit ribosomal RNA", at positions 15 to 228 of the family's 1533-position model. The record is from RNAcentral.
GAUCCUGGCUCAGGACGAACGCUGGUGGCGUGCUUAACACAUGCAAGUCGAACGGAGCACCCUUGAAUGAGGUUUCGGCCAAAGGAAAGGAAUGCUUAGUGGCGGACUGGUGAGUAACGCGUGAGGAACCUGCCUUUCAGAGGGGGACAACAGCUGGAAACGGCUGCUAAUACCGCAUGACGCAUUCGGAUGGCAUCAUCUGAAUGCCAAAGAUUUAUCGCUGAAAGAUGG